CUAACUUAAGACUCAAAUUCAAAUGCAACUCCCACAACAAGUCAAUCACAAUGUAUCCAUUGACCUCAGCGAGAGACUGACUUCAGCACUAAGUGACACUUCAUGGCUAAGGGCCUCAUUCAUGCCAGCAGUCCUAUUGUCCCGUGACUGGGAACUACUCAAUUUCAACAAAAUUCAUCCCUCAGGUGUAACAUGACAUUAGAUACUGAAGUCUCCAUUUCCUAACUGCACCCCAAGGAGCAUUUUCUGUGGGCCACAGAGAACUCUGUUCACGUGACACUACAUUUUUCUCUUGGCUUUUGGCUCUACAACACACUAAAAGUUAAGAAUAUAUUACUUCCCUAAUGUUACAUUUUGAAAUGAGCAAUUUAGUAGCUGCUGUAAGAAUGUUUUCUAUUCCCUAACAUUAGAAGAGGUGAUGCUUCCAGGCAUGAAAGGAAACUGAGAAGUUCAAAAGACUAUAUCCUUACUAAAAAGGUACUGUGCUGUGAGAAAAACUGAGCACCACUGACACAAAGCUUUUGUUCAAACUCUCAUCAAAAAUCUUAAAAGCCUUAAUUCAAAACCAACUGAUGCUAAAAGACAUUUUUGCAGAGAAGACCAAAUUGUUUCUCUAUAAUUGUUUCCAAAACAAUUUCAUUUUAAAAAUAGUCAAAGAGUGUGCACAUAAACAUUAACUUUUUGCAUUAAAAAAUAAAGACUUUCCAGCGUAUUUUAGAUACAUGCUCAAGGUCUAUGAAUUAAUUCAAUAUACUAAUGACUAAAAAUAUGGCAGCAUAUGGUGUGUUGGGUUGAUAUGUUAAAGUAAAUAAACCUGGAUCUAGCACAUCACUGAAGCUCUUUUUGAACAAUGGCAUGAGCCAUACUAUAUUUAACAUACGAUAUGAGGAUGCACAUUACCUCUAAAGGAGUCAUUAAAAUCUAUUAUAGCAAACUGUGUACAUAGACAGAGAUACCCUUUGUUCCUUUCAGUGCUUCCUUAAAAGGACAAUAUUUAAGUUCAUAUAUUCUAUUUUAAAAUACAAUAAAAAGGAGUUAAUAUUGAUGGUACAGGUUUGCAUUUCUGAUUCCACUUUUAUACCAUAAAGAGUAAUAAACAGUAACAGAACAUCUUUGAAAAUAUGAAUGUGCUGGGCUGGAUUUUUAGAUUUAACUGCAAGAUUCUUUCUUCUGAAAAAGUAUGAUUCUGUUCUAAAAGACAACUGCAAUGGCAUCAUUAUGCUUCUUGCUUAUUAUGUUUUGAUUGCCAAAUCACAUUUCUUCAGUUAUAAAUAAAUAUGAAUUUUCUGACUGAGAAGUCCUGCAAGUUCAACCCAGGUUCAGAGCUGAAUUGGGUUUUCACACAUCACUAUUAACAAAAAAGAUUGACAGACCAAAUUAGGCCUUGUUUUACACUUGUGUAAUCCCAAAGAAAGCUAUCAGAAUCACAUGUCAGAUCCUACCUUGAACAUUGCUUUGAAACCAAUAAAAAAAAUACAAAAAU
This is a long non-coding RNA of Gavialis gangeticus (Gharial), 1483 nucleotides long. RefSeq lists it as uncharacterized. The transcript is spliced from 2 exons. Lineage: Eukaryota; Metazoa; Chordata; Crocodylia; Gavialidae. The record is from RefSeq and is a predicted model, not a curated record.